Molecule: long non-coding RNA, 310 nt
Organism: Nothoprocta perdicaria
Lineage: Eukaryota; Metazoa; Chordata; Aves; Tinamiformes; Tinamidae
Exons: 3
Source: RefSeq, a predicted model, not a curated record
CGUUUCCUUCUGCUCCUGCUACAAAACUGAAUUCAACUGUGUGGCCAAGAAGCCUGGAGGUUUGCACCUCUCUGCAGAGCAGUGCGAGGCCACGGACAAUACUGCUGCUGGUAGCGGGGAGGCUGCUUUGGUUUUGGUAGCCCCAAGUGCUUGCCAGCAAGAGAAACGUUGAGCGUUAAACUGAGUGUGUCUGAAGCAUCUGCUUACUGCAAAAACACUGAGUUUUUCAAGUCUCAGCAAGACCAUGGACUGAAGAUUUCACCUGGCGACUCAUCUUCUCCUGCCAAAGUGAUUUUCACAGUGAGAAAAC